This 274-nucleotide ribosomal RNA is filed under the name uncultured bacterium. Its description in RNAcentral is "partial 16S ribosomal RNA". It matches the Rfam family "Bacterial small subunit ribosomal RNA", at positions 523 to 796 of the family's 1533-position model. The record is from RNAcentral.
AUACAGAGGGUGCAAACGUUGUUCGGAAUUACUGGGCAUAAAGAGCACGUAGGCGGCCCGCUAAGUCAGAUGUGAAAGCCCCCGGCUCAACCGGGGAACUGCAUCUGAUACUGGCGGGCUCGAGGACGGUAGGGGUGAGUGGAACUCCAGGUGGAGCGGUGAAAUGCGUAGAUAUCUGGAGGAACACCGGUGGCGAAAGCGGCUCACUGGACCGUCUCUGACGCUCAGGUGCGAAAGCUAGGGUAGCGAACGGGAUUAGAAACCCCAGUAGUCC